Long non-coding RNA from Bos taurus (domestic cattle), 937 nucleotides. Lineage: Eukaryota; Metazoa; Chordata; Mammalia; Artiodactyla; Bovidae. The record is from Ensembl.
UGAGUCCCAGCUCUUGGUUUUGCUUCAGAAAACAUACCUGCCCAUCAAGAUUGUGACCCCGAAAGCCAGGGUCCCUUUCUCUGUCCUGUCUGAGGCUCUCCCUCCAAAUUCCAGGUUGAAGUUGGAAAAAUGGGCUCCCUUCCCUCCCCACCAACAUUACUCUUCCUCCAGUGAGCCCUCCAUCCUUACAAGCAGAGAAGGACCGUGUGCUGCCCAAGAGCCACCUGAGCACCGCAAGCCAGAGUCGCCCCAGGGAGCGUCUGUCACAGGCUGAAUAAUGCCACCAGGAACACAGAAGAACAGAUACUUCUUUGAGAGAAUGAUUUCCUUUCCUUGGGCUACAUACCUAGAAGUGGAAUUGCUGAAUCAUAUGUUGUUGAAGACAAUAAAGAUUUUAAACUUCACCUUCUUGACCUGAAUCUGAAAAUAAUGGCUUUCUCCUCCCAGUUCCAAUUCCAGCACUUAGAUGGAGUGACAGAAGAAGGAGCUCUGAGUUAGACACGCCGAGAAAAGGCCACUUGAGGUCACAGUAGGAAGGUGUCCAUCUGCAAGCCAGGAAGAGAGACCCCACGAGAAACAGAACAUGGCUUUGGACUUCUGGCCUCUAGAACUGUGAGCAAACAAAUGUCUGUAGUUUAAGCCACCCGGCCUGGUAUUUUGUUAAUGUCGACCCGAGCAGACCAAGACAUCUGGAGACACAUGGAGCCUUUCAGCUGGAGCUUCAGGACUAUGCUGUACUUGCCACUGAAGGCUCAGCCUGUCCUUGACAUACCAAGCCAUUAACUUGAAAUCAGAAAAGGUCUGAGAGGCCUCUACAUUCUUUCCUGUGAUUAUCAGGCCCUACGCUAGCUGGAUAUAAAGUCACCGGGCUGGAAGGGGAAAAAGAAUUGGCCUAAACGGUCAUGGAAAAGUCUAAACAGAAGAUUUUCUUUCUCUC